This 253-nucleotide ribosomal RNA is filed under the name uncultured bacterium. RNAcentral describes it as "partial 16S ribosomal RNA". It matches the Rfam family "Bacterial small subunit ribosomal RNA", at positions 57 to 305 of the family's 1533-position model. The record is from RNAcentral.
GCAAGUCGAACGCGAACGAUUUUCUUCGGAGGAUCUAGUAGAGUGGCGCACGGGUGAGUAACGCGUAAGUGAUCUACCCUGGCAUCUGGAAUAACUCAGCGAAAGCUGUGCUAAUACCGGAUACGUUGAUUUAUCAAGAAAGGUGGCCUCUGAUUCAAGCUACUGUGCGGGGAGGAGCUUGCGUACCAUUAGCUAGUUGGUAGGGUAACGGCCUACCAAGGCGACGAUGGUUAGCGGGUCUGAGAGGAUGAUC